RNAcentral lists this ribosomal RNA (377 nucleotides) under uncultured bacterium. Its description in RNAcentral is "bacterial SSU rRNA". It matches the Rfam family "Bacterial small subunit ribosomal RNA", at positions 521 to 896 of the family's 1533-position model. The record is from RNAcentral.
UAAUACGAGGGGUGCAAGCGUUGCUCGGAAUUAUUGGGCGUAAAGGGUAGGUAGGUGGUCUCGUUUGUCUGGGGUGAAAGCCUUGAGCUUAACUCAAGAAGUGCCUUAGAAACGGCGAGACUAGAGUCUUGGAGAGGGUCGUGGAAUUCCCGGUGUAGCGGUGAAAUGCGUAGAGAUCGGGAGGAACACCAGAGGCGAAGGCGGCGACCUGGACAAGUACUGACACUCAACUACGAAAGCGUGGGGAGCAAACAGGAUUAGAUACCCUGGUAGUCCACGCUGUAAACGAUGGGUACUAGGUUUGGUGGGUCUUGACCCCCGCUGAACCGGCGCUAACGCAAUAAGUACCCCGCCUGGGAAGUACGGUCGCAAGACUA